CUACUUACCUGGCAGGGAGAUACAGAUCCAGAUCGGGUGGUUCACCCAGGGCGAGCUAACCAUGCACUCCGGUUAUGGCUGACCCCUGCGAAUUCCCACAAAUUGUGGAAUCUCGACUGCAUAAUUGUGUUAGUGGGGGACUGCUUUCGCGCUCUCCCCGA
Molecule: small nuclear RNA, 161 nt
Organism: Etheostoma spectabile (orangethroat darter)
Lineage: Eukaryota; Metazoa; Chordata; Actinopteri; Perciformes; Percidae
Product: U1 spliceosomal RNA
Exons: 1
Source: RefSeq, a predicted model, not a curated record